This 384-nucleotide ribosomal RNA is filed under the name Chrysochromulina sp. RNAcentral's name for it is "partial small subunit ribosomal RNA". It matches the Rfam family "Eukaryotic small subunit ribosomal RNA", at positions 587 to 975 of the family's 1831-position model. The record is from RNAcentral. Lineage: Eukaryota; Haptophyta; Prymnesiales; Chrysochromulinaceae.
AGCUCCAAUAGCGUAUAUUAAAGUUGUUGCAGUUAGAACGCUCGUAGUCGGAUUUCGGGGCAGUCCGACCGGUCUGCCGAUGGGUAUGCACUGGCCGGAGUGUCCUUUUUGCCGGAGACCGUGCCUACUCUUAACUGAGCGGGGGCGGGAGACGGCACUUUUACUUUGAAAAAAUCAGAGUGUUUCAAGCAGGCAGCUCGCUCUUGCAUGGAUUAGCAUGGGAUAAUGAAAUAGGACUUUGGUGCUAUUUUGUUGGUUUCGAACACCGAAGUAAUGAUGAGAAGGGACAGUCAGGGGCACUCGUAUUCCGCAGAGAGAGGUGAAAUUCUCAGACCCGCGGAAGACGAACCACUGCGAAAGCAUUUGCCAGGGAUGUUUUCACUA